RNAcentral lists this ribosomal RNA (613 nucleotides) under uncultured Gammaproteobacteria bacterium. RNAcentral describes it as "bacterial SSU rRNA". It matches the Rfam family "Bacterial small subunit ribosomal RNA", at positions 8 to 616 of the family's 1533-position model. Lineage: Bacteria; Pseudomonadati; Pseudomonadota; Gammaproteobacteria. The record is from RNAcentral.
AGAGUUGUAUCCUGGCUCAGGAUGAACGCUAGCGGCAGGCCUAACACAUGCAAGUCGAGCGGUAGAAACCUUCGGGUUUUGAGAGCGGCGCACGGGUGCGUAACGCGUAUGCAACCUACCCUUCACAGGGGAAUAGCCCGUCGAAAGGCGGAUUAAUGUCCCAUAGUCCUCAGGAUAGGCAUCUAUUCUGGGGUAAAGAUUCAUCGGUGAAGGAUGGGCAUGCGUGCCAUUAGCUAGAUGGUGAGGUAACGGCUCACCAUGGCUACGAUGGCUAGGGGUUCUGAGAGGAAGGCCCCCCACACUGGGACUGAGACACGGCCCAGACUCCUACGGGAGGCAGCAGUGAGGAAUAUUGGACAAUGGGGGCAACCCUGAUCCAGCGACGCCGCGUGUGUGAAGAAGGCCUGCGGGUUGUAAAGCACUUUUAGUGGGGAUGAAAAGUUCAGGGCUAACACCCUUGGAUCUUGACCUAACCCAAAGAAAAAGCACCGGCUAACUCUGUGCCAGCAGCCGCGGUAAUACAGAGGGUGCAAGCGUUAAUCGGAAUUACUGGGCGUAAAAGCGUGCGCAGUCGGUUAUUUAAGUCGGAUGUGAAAUCCCCGGGCUCAACCUG